Molecule: ribosomal RNA, 253 nt
Filed under: uncultured bacterium
Lineage: Bacteria
Description: partial 16S ribosomal RNA
Rfam family: Archaeal small subunit ribosomal RNA
Source: RNAcentral
UACCAGCACCCCGAGUGGUCGGGACGAUUAUUGGGCCUAAAGCAUCCGUAGCCGGUUCUACAAGUCUUCCGUUAAAUCCACAUGCUUAACAGAUGGGCUGCGGAGGAUACUAUGGAGCUAGGAGGCGGGAGAGGCAAGCGGUACUUAGUGGGUAGGGGUAAAAUCCGUUGAUCCAUUGAAGACCACCAGUGGCGAAGGCGGCUUGCCAGAACGCACUCGACGGUGAGGGAUGAAAGCUGGGGGAGCAAACCGG